UAUUUCUUUAAAUGCAAAAGUGUUUGCAGGCAGCAAAUAUUUUUGUGCAAAAGAAAUCUUAAAUAACAGCAUACACCAUGUUUCUUUCCACUGUCCUUCCUCUACAGAUAAUCUUCAUCAGUCACUAGAUGCAUGUUAUAAACAAGUUUGCUCACAAAUGCAAUGUCUGACAAAACAGAGACCCCAGUACAAUACAAAGCAGAUAAUGUUCACUUUUACUUUAUGCUGAGACCUCCUGCAAAAUAGCAAAUAUGUGAAAAAUAGCAUAGCUGGUUUGCACAGACAUCACUUUAACUACUUGAAUAUAUAAAUGAAGACUGCAAGAAGAUUGUGUACAGCUUUGAAUUCAUAUAUAAUACCAAAGACCUGUAACACUUCAUGUGAGCAAGCAUGAAGAAUUGCAUUUAAAAUACUACUUUGCGGACUUGACCUCCAUUUUCUCUGCUUUUUGGUUGAUGUUUCGCUCAAAUUCAAGUCUUCAUGAACCCUGUGAACACAAUUGUGACGUAUAUACUGGUAUCAGUGAGUGAGUCACUAAAAACAUCUGCUUAUGCCUUUUAAACCCAGAUUACACAGAUGAGAAUACAAACUGGGUAAAUCAUGAGCCUAGAAAUUAAAAACUGAUUUCAUGUUUCAAUUCUGCCUGUAAGAUAUAGGAAAAUUAAUUAGCUUCAUUAAUUUCUUUUAUCAACUUAAUUAAUUAGUCGACUUCAUUUUCCCUUGUUUUUCCUGUCUGUAAAACAGUGACCAUGCUGCUUCCUUUUUCUGCUUGAUUACCAUCAUUUGUCACCAUCUUAAUGGUUCAAAGCUAUUACAGCAGUAGAAAACAUGUAACAUUCUUUGAAUAAUGAACUUGUGAAAAUCCAAGGUAUCUGAGAAAAUAAACACUGACUAUAGAAGAGAACUGCUGAUUCCUUAAUCCCAGUUAUGGUAUAUAGGAGAAGAUCAACUCCAUCUUGAGAUUUAAGGUUCCAAGGAGUCAGCCCAUGGUUCGAGAUAACUACAACUGAGAAUUCAGGGGAUUUUUUUAAAUCUGAAAUAAUAUAUACCAUCUCUGCUUCCCAAAUCUUCUUCUUCCUGUUAGUAGCAGGUUGGAAUGCUCAAGGGGAAAUGAGAUAUAAUAAAAGGUUUAGUACUCCUGGUAUUCAGAUGACUUGAAAAGCUUGAAGUCCCAAGAAGUUGAUGCACACCUGUGACCCUGAUUACUUAUAUCAGCCAGUUUGGAAGCACUAUACAGGCUUAGAGGGAAAGAGAUAAAAGGACAGCAACAGCUAAUCUCUUUCUAAGGCCAGCUGCAUAGCCUGAGCUCUGUCCUUAACAUGGAAGAGAUGAUUUGAAGAAGAGAAGAAAUGGGAAAAAUGUCUCCAACCAGAAAAAUUGGUAACUUUCCAGAGAUAAACCCAGAUAUCUGGGACAUAAAGUCUGACAUUUCUUGUGAGAUUGGGAUACACAGAGGAACACUGCUGAAAUAGUGGUAUUAGGACAGCUGUCUGGAUCUUCCAGUCAUGGUCUAGCAGCUUGAAGAAACUGAGGUUGGUUUAUUUGACUGCUCAGAGUGCCUGCAAGACAGACCAUGGAUAAGUGCACUAAUCCUAAGAGGCAUUUCCUUCCUUGAAAAGUUAGGGAGAACUUGUUGAUAUAGGACAAAGCAGAAUUAUUUUUCAGAAGUCCCUGAACAGGCCUGCCUUGCAGCUCUCAGUACCAGACAUUGAUAUCAUUCAUAUUCACUGUCAGUGAAGAAAUUUUGACAUGUAUGUCUCUCUGAAUAUUCUUUCCAGCAGAAGUGUUUUCCAGAUUAUAUUAUUGAAGGCAGGGAGUGUGUGGAAGGAUAUAUCUUUGGUAACACUGUCUUGAGUUUUCUCAAGAAUAGCUGCAUUUGGACAUCAUGUAGGAUAGGAGAGAUAGAAUGGAAAUACUCGGUUUUUAAAAUUAUUAGAUUCAAGCCUAUAAGGCUCACCCAGAAUCCACAAUGACCUCUUAGAAGCUCCAAGAACUAUGGACACUCACCCUGGCUAGACAGUGAGGCUGCAUGUCCUUCACGAGCUCUCACAGAACACUUCCACAGAAGACGGCUCACCUCCUUUCAAAGUGAGGAGGACAACAAAGAAGACUGAGCUGACUCCUGCUGCAGCACAGAAGAUGGCAGUGCUUGAUGGAGUGCUAUUGAAUACAUGAGUGACAGCAGGUCAUCCCUGUGAGGAUAACAGUGACUCUGAGCCAUUGAGCAGACAACUGCAGUGACUUCAGAUUGUUGUGCCAUGAAUAAAAGAACUGGAUAGCUGUCCUGUGCUGCUGGAGAAACCUGUGUGACAACUUGCUCUGAAGGGAUGGAAGGUGUCAGGAUGCUAAGGAGGCUGUGAAGCUUAGGACUUGGAUGUAUUUUUUGGUCUUAAAAAUGUGGAGGGAAAGAUUUCUCCUGCCUAUCACAGAAAAUGUUUGUUUUUGAUAUUAUGGUCGAGUAAUUUAAGGCAGGAAAUGAGCAAGGUAAGGCAUCUAAAAGUGUGUGUAUUUUAGAGGAAGAGAAGACUGCUUUAAAGCUGUGCUGGGAGGAUUAAGGCCAAACGCCAGAGGUAAAACUCAAGGAUUGACCUUAAAGGGUGCUAAAGCACAAACAAUAGAUAAAGUGAAAGAUAAAAAAAGGUAGUGGCAAUAUAAGAUCAGCACAACCAAAAUUAGGCAUUUGAAGGUUAAUGGCUUCUGAUCAUUAUGCUUUUGUGCUCAAUAAACAUUUCCUUAAACAUUUGUAUAGUUUGUUUGUUUGUUUGUUUGUUUGUUUUUGGGUUUUGUUGUUGUUGUUUUUUGGUUUUGUUUUGUUUUUUGU
Long non-coding RNA from Passer domesticus (house sparrow), 2821 nucleotides. RefSeq lists it as uncharacterized. The transcript is spliced from 5 exons. The record is from RefSeq and is a predicted model, not a curated record. NCBI's taxonomy places the organism in Eukaryota, Metazoa, Chordata, Aves, Passeriformes, Passeridae.